GGGAUCUUUCAUAAAAAAAAAUCUUUAAUUUUAAUAUUAUUUAAAAUUCAUCACCUUUUGGUCACUAGAACAUGAGAUCAUCACCGGCUAACAUGGAUGGCCCAUACGUAUUCUCAGCCACCAAGAACCAUGGUGGAGGGAAACAAGGAUGCAAGCUAAACUACCAAAUAUCCCCAGGAGAUUUGUGUGAAGUCUAAACAAAGGUAACUCAAAAACGCAGGCAAUAGGGAGAGCAGAUCCACAAAGAGUUGGAUCAAUUACUGAAUUCAGCCACCACAAUAGGACACUAGACCUGUCUUUCAAGUCUCAUGUCGCAGCUUUGACAAAAAGAAAGACGGUAUCCUAAUUUGAAAAUGAUCAACCAAAGACUAAAACAACCUAAGAAAGGCGAUUGCGUGUGGUUUUUGUAGAUGAUUUGGUGCUGUUUUCAAUUUGUCUCCCUGUAUCUAUGGUUGUUGGCUUGCUGAUCUGAAAUAUCUCCAUUAAUCUUCAAUCUAUUUUUGGCUUUUAUUGGUGGAGCUCCUUUUCCAACAGAUUAUCAGCGGUGGGGUUGCCGAGGUGUUGUUGGUGAAACGCUAUACAGAAUUGUAUGGUGGGUUAAGAUUUGGGUUUGAGUUCUUUCUGGAUUUUAGAGUUUCUGGUGUAUCUUGGGCUCUUUGAUCUUUUGGGCCUUGAGACAUUUGAUUUGAUGUUUUUAAGUCUUAGGAUUAUGUGGUUGUAGUUGAAAUCUAUUAUGACUUUUUCCUUAAAUAUAUUCUAUCUUUUAGAAACGUUUU
Molecule: long non-coding RNA, 776 nt
Filed under: Manihot esculenta (cassava)
Lineage: Eukaryota; Viridiplantae; Streptophyta; Magnoliopsida; Malpighiales; Euphorbiaceae
Description: long non-coding RNA (MESC_LNC004238)
Source: RNAcentral